Long non-coding RNA from Talpa occidentalis (Iberian mole), 3784 nucleotides. RefSeq lists it as uncharacterized. Lineage: Eukaryota; Metazoa; Chordata; Mammalia; Eulipotyphla; Talpidae. The transcript has 5 exons. The record is from RefSeq and is a predicted model, not a curated record.
AAAGAAAAGAGAAGGAAAAACUGACAGAGCUUAUAAAUGUUGCAGGAAGGUUCAGAUAUGCACAUUGCUGCUGGCUUUUUAAGGAGCAGUGAAUUUCCUUUAUCCUGAGGUAGAUGGACAUGCUGGAAUGGAAGAAGAACUGUUUAGCAAGAUGGUUUUCAUUUAGAAACUCUCAUGAAGAUGAGGUGACGGCUCCAGCUGGGGUUGCAGUCAUCUGAAGACAUGACAAGGACCUAAAGAGCUGCAGUCAUGUUCACACAUGUAGAUAUUGUGAGGUGAUCUCUGUUUCUCACAGCUUCUGCCUGGAGACAUCCCUUUGUACCUCAUGGUCCUGUCCAUACAACUGCUUCUGUGUCCUAUGACAUGGUCACCCGCUUCCCCACAAAUACAUUCACAAAAGUAGGAUUGCCGAAUCCCCGUUUAGUUUUUGAAGCAUGGAAGACACCUCCUUAAUCUUUUUUGUAGAAGCAAUAUGUUCCCAGUGUAAUUUGUAUCAAGUUGACAACUGUGAACCUGAAAAUUAAGAACAUAUUUUGAUACUGCUUUUUGAAUGUGGGGCAUUUUGUGGUGCAGAUGUUCUAGUAAUUGUGAGAUACUGGAAAAAAUCCCCCUUCAGUGGUGCUCAGAUUCAUGCUUCCCGCUGUGGUGUGGUGAGCAGCCUGACGCUAGCACACUGUGCCCCAAUGUGAAACAUAUGAGACUAGAGCUUGAUGCAGUCUCCCUCCCUUCAAGGUGUGUUUCCAUCAUCACCACCACUGUUUUUCUCCCCUGACAGUCUCCCACUCAACAAUCUUAGAAGGUAGGCAUUCCUACAUUUUUUGCUUUAUUUGAAAUAUGCAUCAAAAAGUAUAGUUCCAUUAUGAGAGGAUAUAUUGACUACAAACACACUAAAAUGAGUAUAUUCUUAAAACUAGUAAAUGUUUACAUUUAAUUUUGAUUUUAAAGAAAUAUACUUGCCACCUGGUUUCAUAUUAUUUAUUUAUAGCCAUCAAGAACAGAAAUUUGAUUCAAAGGGCUCUCUAUAAAGAUCUUAUUGAUAAAACACUUAUUUCCACACCACUGUUAUUUCCAUUACUCAAGGCGUAGAUUUAACCAAUCUUUAUAUACCUAUAGUAGGGUGAUUCUAAAGUAAUUAAUUCAGUUGUUUCAUUUCUUUCCCCACACAGAUGGAGAGUUGGGACCUUCUGUGUCCUGGGAUGGGUCUGGGGCUGUGCUCAGAAAAUGUUUGAUUUCUAACUCUGGCACACACUCACCAUUUGUGCAAACUCAGCAUCUUGUUGGGCAGAUGGCUUUUAAGAUUGCAAUCAAGUGUGUCUGUGAUCAAAAUGGAAAGCACAAUGACUUCACUUAAAUCCAGAUAAAAAUCAAAUCAUUUUUACAUAUUUGACUACUCUAUUAUUUUCUUAAUGAUUCAUAAGAGGAAAUUCAUUAUAAGUUUUUGAUGAUACGUUUCAAAACCUGAAAGUAUUUAGUAAAAUAAAUUAUCUUUUUCUUCUAGUAUCUUUUAUUAAGACGAAUGUUUAGUUUAUAGAUUAUUUGGAGAUGUGCUCAUUUUUCAGGACACAAGUAGAUGAUGUGCAAGAUGGGACAAGCUAUAUCUAGAGGAUCUUACUUAGGGAUGCUUGCAGGGGUCAAGGGAUUCCCAAAGACUUUCCAGGAGCAGCAGUUAAGAGUCUUGCAAUAGAUUAGCUAAGAAAGUAUAGGAAUUGCUCUAUGUGUGAUACCUUAGGGGUCCCCAAAGAAUUAACAGAAGUAUCUCAUGAAAGUUAGAGAAGUAGAAGAUUGGUGGUUGCCAAGGAACGGGGAGACAAAUAAGUAGAGAUGUUCAAAGGGUACAAAUGUUAUAAGAUGAAUAAGUUUUUAUGCACAGUAUUGUGACAAUAGUUAGCAAUACAGUUUUGUGUAUGUGAAAGUUGCAAAAGAGAAGAUCUUAAAUGGUCUCACCACACACACAAAUACUGUGACUAUGUGAGGCCAUGAAUGUGUUAACUAACCUUAUUGUGGUAAUCAUUUCACAAUAUAUACAUAUAUGAAAUUAUUACAAUGUAUAGCUUAAACUUAUACAAUGUUUCAUAUCAUUUUUAUCUCAGUAAACCUGGAAAUAUGAAAUAAUAAAGGAAUCAAUCUACUUUUUCUGCCUUUCAGUUGUUGGAAAAUUAUUAUCUGAGACCAUAAUAGGGACAAGUCUGUAAACAAAUGUUAAGAGUCUAUAGAUGACAGGGUGAAAGUUAGGGAAAGCCUGGAUCCUCACAUCCUUAACAUCAUUGUUAAGUUAUGGAAUUAAUCUUUGCAACUCACAUGAGGAUAUGUUAUGUGACAGCAACACACACACAUAUAUAUGUCAUAGAGAUAGCAUAUCCAAUAUAUUUAUGUUUAAAUUAAUGUGGACUCAAUAUAAACAAUUUAUAUGGGCUGUUACCUGAAGUUAAAGUCGUCCAUCCCACCUCAUAAAUGUGCUAAGAAUUAUACAGACAUAUAUGGCCAACUUAAAAAGAAGUUGGGAAAAGUUUAUAUAUUCUACUGUCUCAUUUGUAUAGGAUUGACAAUGAGCUCUGGGAUUCUUUAAUUAUCUAUCUAUUAGUAAAUGGUGAGGGGUUAUGUAAUAUCCAAUUACUCAGUUAAAUCCCACGCUAUUAAUUAUAUGUCACACAGGACAUCCAUAUACUGAUUGAUUAUACUCUGAACUGGAAACCAUUCUCACCUUUUUCCUUUUGGGACUUUGCCACUAUAUUGUUAUUGCAACACCUGUAACUUUGUUGUCCAUUGCACAAAUAUUCCAUGAUACCAUCAUCAUUUUUAAUCAUUUUGUAAUUAUGGAAACAUGCUAGAUAAUUCCCAAGGCCAGACAGAAAUGUGUUAUUCCCAUUAGCAUUUUCUUGCUUAGCAUUUAAAGGCAAUAUAGUUAACUCUGGACUAUUUUACAGUCAAACACGAUUUAUAAGAACUGCAAGUUUGUUUAUUAUUCACAUAAUAAACCAUUAAUAAGCAAGUGGUCAAUAUAAAAUUACUGAGUGAGAAAAUUAAAAUGCAUAUGGUAAUAGGUCAAAAUUUUCCUCAAUUUCUACUAAAAACAGCAGAGGAGGGAAAGGGGAAGUUAAAACAGUGAUAGUAAUGGUUCUUCUUGUAACAAAUGCUGCAACUGACAGGUAUACAGAAAAUAGAGGUAGCAGUGUAUUUUUCAUUACAAGUCAAUAGACUCUGCAAAGCUGUCAAAUGUUAACUAGCUUACCUUCUGCUCUUUGCAGAAAGGUUAAUGGAUACAGCACAUUUUCCAAUGUGACUCUGAAAAACAAAGAAUUACAAAUAGUAUGUUGUGGUAUUUGUUUUUCUUCUUUUUUAGCCUACCCUAUGUAAAAUCUAGAAGUUGAAUGCCACAUCAAAGCUUCUAGCUAUCAAAAAAUUGUUAGUGAUCACCUAGGUGGGGGGUGGGGUGGAGAAGAGUUAGUGCUGGAGUGGUAAAUGAAUCUCUGGUUGUUGCAAUGUGAUGUUAGGAACGAAUCUUUAUUCAUUUGAGGAUCAACCCUUUAACUUUAACCUUUUGUAGGAACAUGUUCUUUAUUUACCAUUUGUCUUGUUUAUUGGAGAAUAUUUUAUAACUCUAUAUUGUAAAAACUCUAUAUUGUAAAAAAAUAACAUCAAAGAGUAUGGCUAAGCUGUAUGUACAGAAUAUAAUAAAUGACAGGUUAACAAGCAGCUUUUUGUCACUCCUGGUAAGAAUGUAAGAAUGAGAACAUUAUCAUUAUCAUUACUAAUAUAUAGUGAAACAUAUAUAUCUCGAUCAGAA